This 2802-nucleotide ribosomal RNA is filed under the name Escherichia coli. RNAcentral describes it as "bacterial LSU rRNA". It matches the Rfam family "Bacterial large subunit ribosomal RNA". The record is from RNAcentral. Lineage: Bacteria; Pseudomonadati; Pseudomonadota; Gammaproteobacteria; Enterobacterales; Enterobacteriaceae.
GGGUUGUGAGGUUAAGCGACUAAGCGUACACGGUGGAUGCCCUGGCAGUCAGAGGCGAUGAAGGACGUGCUAAUCUGCGAUAAGCGUCGGUAAGGUGAUAUGAACCGUUAUAACCGGCGAUUUCCGAAUGGGGAAACCCAGUGUGAUUCGUCACACUAUCAUUAACUGAAUCCAUAGGUUAAUGAGGCGAACCGGGGGAACUGAAACAUCUAAGUACCCCGAGGAAAAGAAAUCAACCGAGAUUCCCCCAGUAGCGGCGAGCGAACGGGGAGCAGCCCAGAGCCUGAAUCAGUGUGUGUGUUAGUGGAAGCGUCUGGAAAGGCGCGCGAUACAGGGUGACAGCCCCGUACACAAAAAUGCACAUGCUGUGAGCUCGAUGAGUAGGGCGGGACACGUGGUAUCCUGUCUGAAUAUGGGGGGACCAUCCUCCAAGGCUAAAUACUCCUGACUGACCGAUAGUGAACCAGUACCGUGAGGGAAAGGCGAAAAGAACCCCGGCGAGGGGAGUGAAAAAGAACCUGAAACCGUGUACGUACAAGCAGUGGGAGCACGCUUAGGCGUGUGACUGCGUACCUUUUGUAUAAUGGGUCAGCGACUUAUAUUCUGUAGCAAGGUUAACCGAAUAGGGGAGCCGAAGGGAAACCGAGUCUUAACUGGGCGUUAAGUUGCAGGGUAUAGACCCGAAACCCGGUGAUCUAGCCAUGGGCAGGUUGAAGGUUGGGUAACACUAACUGGAGGACCGAACCGACUAAUGUUGAAAAAUUAGCGGAUGACUUGUGGCUGGGGGUGAAAGGCCAAUCAAACCGGGAGAUAGCUGGUUCUCCCCGAAAGCUAUUUAGGUAGCGCCUCGUGAAUUCAUCUCCGGGGGUAGAGCACUGUUUCGGCAAGGGGGUCAUCCCGACUUACCAACCCGAUGCAAACUGCGAAUACCGGAGAAUGUUAUCACGGGAGACACACGGCGGGUGCUAACGUCCGUCGUGAAGAGGGAAACAACCCAGACCGCCAGCUAAGGUCCCAAAGUCAUGGUUAAGUGGGAAACGAUGUGGGAAGGCCCAGACAGCCAGGAUGUUGGCUUAGAAGCAGCCAUCAUUUAAAGAAAGCGUAAUAGCUCACUGGUCGAGUCGGCCUGCGCGGAAGAUGUAACGGGGCUAAACCAUGCACCGAAGCUGCGGCAGCGACGCUGAUGCGUUGUUGGGUAGGGGAGCGUUCUGUAAGCCUGCGAAGGUGUGCUGUGAGGCAUGCUGGAGGUAUCAGAAGUGCGAAUGCUGACAUAAGUAACGAUAAAGCGGGUGAAAAGCCCGCUCGCCGGAAGACCAAGGGUUCCUGUCCAACGUUAAUCGGGGCAGGGUGAGUCGACCCCUAAGGCGAGGCCGAAAGGCGUAGUCGAUGGGAAACAGGUUAAUAUUCCUGUACUUGGUGUUACUGCGAAGGGGGGACGGAGAAGGCUAUGUUGGCCGGGCGACGGUUGUCCCGGUUUAAGCGUGUAGGCUGGUUUUCCAGGCAAAUCCGGAAAAUCAAGGCUGAGGCGUGAUGACGAGGCACUACGGUGCUGAAGCAACAAAUGCCCUGCUUCCAGGAAAAGCCUCUAAGCAUCAGGUAACAUCAAAUCGUACCCCAAACCGACACAGGUGGUCAGGUAGAGAAUACCAAGGCGCUUGAGAGAACUCGGGUGAAGGAACUAGGCAAAAUGGUGCCGUAACUUCGGGAGAAGGCACGCUGAUAUGUAGGUGAAGUCCCUCGCGGAUGGAGCUGAAAUCAGUCGAAGAUACCAGCUGGCUGCAACUGUUUAUUAAAAACACAGCACUGUGCAAACACGAAAGUGGACGUAUACGGUGUGACGCCUGCCCGGUGCCGGAAGGUUAAUUGAUGGGGUCAGCGCAAGCGAAGCUCUUGAUCGAAGCCCCGGUAAACGGCGGCCGUAACUAUAACGGUCCUAAGGUAGCGAAAUUCCUUGUCGGGUAAGUUCCGACCUGCACGAAUGGCGUAAUGAUGGCCAGGCUGUCUCCACCCGAGACUCAGUGAAAUUGAACUCGCUGUGAAGAUGCAGUGUACCCGCGGCAAGACGGAAAGACCCCGUGAACCUUUACUAUAGCUUGACACUGAACAUUGAGCCUUGAUGUGUAGGAUAGGUGGGAGGCUUUGAAGUGUGGACGCCAGUCUGCAUGGAGCCGACCUUGAAAUACCACCCUUUAAUGUUUGAUGUUCUAACGUUGACCCGUGAUCCGGGUUGCGGACAGUGUCUGGUGGGUAGUUUGACUGGGGCGGUCUCCUCCUAAAGAGUAACGGAGGAGCACGAAGGUUGGCUAAUCCUGGUCGGACAUCAGGAGGUUAGUGCAAUGGCAUAAGCCAGCUUGACUGCGAGCGUGACGGCGCGAGCAGGUGCGAAAGCAGGUCAUAGUGAUCCGGUGGUUCUGAAUGGAAGGGCCAUCGCUCAACGGAUAAAAGGUACUCCGGGGAUAACAGGCUGAUACCGCCCAAGAGUUCAUAUCGACGGCGGUGUUUGGCACCUCGAUGUCGGCUCAUCACAUCCUGGGGCUGAAGUAGGUCCCAAGGGUAUGGCUGUUCGCCAUUUAAAGUGGUACGCGAGCUGGGUUUAGAACGUCGUGAGACAGUUCGGUCCCUAUCUGCCGUGGGCGCUGGAGAACUGAGGGGGGCUGCUCCUAGUACGAGAGGACCGGAGUGGACGCAUCACUGGUGUUCGGGUUGUCAUGCCAAUGGCACUGCCCGGUAGCUAAAUGCGGAAGAGAUAAGUGCUGAAAGCAUCUAAGCACGAAACUUGCCCCGAGAUGAGUUCUCCCUGAC